Molecule: ribosomal RNA, 251 nt
Filed under: uncultured bacterium
Lineage: Bacteria
Description: partial 16S ribosomal RNA
Rfam family: Bacterial small subunit ribosomal RNA
Source: RNAcentral
ACGUAGGUGGCAAGCGUUGUCCGGAUUUACUGGGCGUAAAGGGAGCGUAGGCGGACUUUUAAGUGAGAUGUGAAAUACCCGAGCUCAACUUGGGUGCUGCAUUUCAAACUGGAAGUCUAGAGUGCAGGAGAGGAGAAUGGAAUUCCUAGUGUAGCGGUGAAAUGCGUAGAGAUUAGGAAGAACACCAGUGGCGAAGGCGAUUCUCUGGACUGUAACUGACGCUGAGGCUCGAAAGCGUGGGGAGCAAACAG